This 2230-nucleotide long non-coding RNA is filed under the name Anthonomus grandis grandis. Its description in RNAcentral is "uncharacterized LOC126741635". Lineage: Eukaryota; Metazoa; Arthropoda; Insecta; Coleoptera; Curculionidae. The record is from RNAcentral.
CGGAUCAUUAAAAUACCUGACGUAAAGUCCAAUUCAGAGAUCUAUUAGAAUCUUUGAUGUGUCGCACAUGCCGCACUAACUAGUCCGUGCGUCUAUGUCGUAUUUAUUGUCGCAUGAUAUACAUGUUUAAAUGGAGUGCCUGUAUAAACAUAAUAAUUUGUCAACAUUUAUAUGAGAUAAAAGUAUAGUUAUCUCAUUCCUUUAUGAGCUAGAUAGAGAUAAACUUAUGUGUCAAAAAGAUAUUGAUACAUUUUAAUAUUCAAACGUUUUUUCAUAAAUAACAUUUAAAUAAUAGAGUGUUUAUGGGUAAAAAAAUUGAAUGGGUUUAUAGAAAACGACAGUCAACUGAUCAAAAAUUAGUCCCUAUCACGAAUUUUGUUCCAAUCUUAUUUUUUGGCUCAUUGACAACAUGCAGCAAUAUAUGCCCUUCAGCGACACAAUAAAGACUGCCUCUUCCUUCAUUCUCUGGAAAAAAGUCCCUUUUUUACCAUAGUAAGAAAACCCUAUUUUUAUUAAUUAAACAAGUUUAAAGUUUUGUUUUUUUCAGCUUACUGCCCCUGUUUGUCCUUAAGCGACACAAUAAAGAAUAUAAUUAUAAUGUAAUGCUUUAGUAUCCAUAUGCUAAUGUGCGAGAUGAAGUUGAAAUCCAUAGCAGCAACAGAGAAACUGUUUCCUUCCUUAAUGGAAGAAACUGCUAAAGAACAAAGGCAAAACAACGAAUUUAGAAAAUUGUAUUAACUCUUUGGGCCAGAUUCAAAAGACUGGUUAAAUUUAUAAAAGUAUUUAGUAUCCUCACUGUAGUUUUAGGAUUCAGUAUACUUAAAAUGUAAUGUCUUGUAUAAGAUUUUUAGUUUUUAGUAUAAGCAUUUAUCUUUGUUAAUUUACAUCUAAUCUCUCCUAUUAUGCACAAUAACUAAAUACGAGGCAAACAAAUUAAUAAAUAUUACAUUCAGGAUGUAAAGUGUGUUUUUUACAAGUAAAACUUGUGUCUUUUAAACGCAUAAGAUAUAGACAGCUAGAUGAUUUUUAAUGUAAAAGUUGAUUUUAAAAAAUAUACUUCCACUUUUCUGACUACAAAAUUACUUUUUAUCCAAAGAUGUUGGUACUAAAUAUAGAGAUAGGGGUUUUCAUGAGUAUAUUAUUAUAAUAAUAUAUCAUAAUAUGUAUUAAUUUAAAAAAAACUAUAAUAAAGGACAUUGAAUAUGGCAGCCACAAUCCCCAUUAAUAAUCACCACCAAGUAAAAAUAAAUCUCAAUACCCAAAAAAAGGAAAUAUAUAAAAUUUGAAGACAAACCAAAACAUUUUACCCUUUUGUGUCAAAAAGUAAAUAUUUAAUGCCUUAAUCCACAGAAUAAAUGGGCCUAAGUAAUUCGUACCACCUAUUCUCUCAUCACUUGUUAUAAACACCCCACUGAUACCGCUAAAAACUAAACUUAUUAAAUUAAAAUUUUUGGUUAAACUCUUUUUCGUACUUAAAUCUUACUUAUAUUUAAAUUAAAUAUUAUCUACCUAUCAACUAUCCUGAAUUUCUAACUUAAUAAAACUAAUCCCAAGAAUCCCGAAUAAUAAAUGUUAAGGCCGGACCUGUGCAACUUUUCACGCUUGAGUGGCUGUGACUGAGGUCAGACGUCUAACAAAAUAGUACGUGGGCGCAUGUAGUCAAAUUUUACGAAUCAAAUGUAUAAAUUCUUAAAAAAAUGCUUAAAACAUUUAUUUAUUUAAUGGACUGGUUAAAUAUCGCUUAGAAUAUUACUUUAUGACUGUUUUCACAUAAAAUUUUGCGAUUUAAACAUGCAUGUCAUGUGACAAUACAAGCAACACCGGCACACGAACUAUUCGCGGCACAUCAAAGAUUCUAAUAGAUCUCUGAACUGAACUAUACCUAAUAAUUAUAUUGAUCUUUGAAAGUUUAUAUUAAAACCCCAUAAAAGACAACUUGGUCAUAUAUGGAUACUGUACCACGUUACCAUAACCAAAUGCCUUUUAAGGUCAGUUAACGAUAUUCUAAUAACGUUUAAUACUUUCCUUUUACCCUAUUAAUUAACCUCUUUAUAGCAUGUAACGCGUAGGAUUGGUCACUAGCGUGGGCUACACAAACAACAACUCAUUUUCAAAGAGAAAAAUGUACAAUUUCGUUUCUUUUGUAAGUGACGUUCUAUUGCCACAGAUAAAGUUUGUUUAAGAGUUUUGAUUGGCAAUUAAAAAUAAAUCUAAGUCAUCGAAUACUUCA